UAACACACAGGUUUCAUGGUCGGUUUUGCCAAUUGCAAAAUGUGAGUUCAAGGAUCUCAGAGUUCAGAUGUAACAGAACGUCUGGGCAAGGAGAGCUGUUUCCCGCCACAUUCAAUUCAAAAUCCAUACUGACUAUGUAUCGGGUUUAAAUGUAGAGUUGCGGUUGCAGAAGCAACUCACAACGUCCCCCCUCGUUUUUAAAUAGUUUACCGGUUGUAGUAAUGUCGAUGCACAUAAGGCACAGGUUCUAACUGGCCAUGGAGGAAAACAUUAUUUCGCCCAUUAGAACCACAUGCGGUAUAUUUAUGAAAGAUAUGCAACAGACAUAUCUCGGUUGCAGCCGGGAACAACGUUUAUUUUAAAUUACUUGAAAGUAUAAAUAUGUGUAGGUAUGUGUAAAAUACAAGUAUACUUUUAAUUACAAAAUAUGAAUUUUUGUAUUACAGGAAACUAAAUCAUCUCAAUGAUAUGGAAGACACAUGUCAAGAUUAUAUUAUAUUACCUUAGAACUUAAAAGCAUUUCAGUUCAUCUAUGCUUUUAGGCAUUCAUCAUUUUGAAUCUUUAAAAAUUAAUAGUCCUUUUUCUUAUCGAACGGCCUUUUCAUUAUGCUUAGUUAUAGUAGAAAAUAUAAUACUUGAAUAUUAAAUAUUAUCAAUUCAUAUUGUAUGUUCAAGUGGAGUUCAUUUUGGGUUUGUUUUACACUCAUAUCUAAGUAAAAAUCUAUGUUCGAUAUAUGUGCCUCGUGAUGUAAGUCAUAUGUAUAUUUUAUAAUCUCUCUGCUAGACAGCACAGUUUAAGUCCCAUUAUUUAUUCUGAUUUAGAGCUCUACUGCAUCAUCUGUAGAUAUCGA
Molecule: long non-coding RNA, 851 nt
Organism: Drosophila miranda
Lineage: Eukaryota; Metazoa; Arthropoda; Insecta; Diptera; Drosophilidae
Exons: 2
Source: RefSeq, a predicted model, not a curated record